This 3488-nucleotide long non-coding RNA is filed under the name Populus tremula. Its description in RNAcentral is "long non-coding RNA (PTRE_LNC000080)". Lineage: Eukaryota; Viridiplantae; Streptophyta; Magnoliopsida; Malpighiales; Salicaceae. The record is from RNAcentral.
UCUUGAUCAUCAUGCCUACCACUAGUUGGAGGAUGUCACGUUUGAACUUCUAUUUGCCAUUAUGCAAUCAUAACAACUGCUAAGUAUGUAAUUGGGCACAGGUUGGACUCAGUGGUAUUUUGAUGGUGAAAGGCACCUCUUACGUGAACACGAACCAAGUUCCGGGUCAACAAAAUCUCUAUGGCACACUUUUGUCAGAAAACGUAAUCGGCGUUAUACAUGACCACUACGUCACAUUUUACCUUGACAUGGACAUAGAUGGCUCUGAUAAUUCCUUUGUUAAUGUAAACAUUCAAAAGCAACGGACCUCUCCCGGAGAAUCACCGCGGAGGAGCUACUUAAAAGCUAUAAGAAAUGUGGCAAAGACAGAAAAGGAUGCACAGAUUCAGCUCAAACUUUAUGACCCAUCCGAGUUCCAUGUGGUUAACCCGAUGAAAAGGACUCGGGUUGGAAACCCCGUUGGGUACAAGCUGGUUCCCGGUGCCACGGCUGCUAGCUUGCUAGAUCAUGACGAUCCUCCCCAAAAACGUGGUGCCUUUACAAAUAACCAGAUAUGGGUCACUCCAUAUAACCAGAGCGAGCAAUGGGCUGGUGGGUUAUUUGUUUACCAGAGUCAAGGUGAAGACACUCUUGCAGUGUGGUCUGAGAGGUAUGGAUUUCCACUCAAAUAAAAAAUCAAAAUAUUACUCUCGCAAUUAACUUUUGUCAUCCUUGGAAAUCUCCAGUUUUCCAACAUUUCCACUUGAAUCGAUUUUCUAAUUGAAUCAAGGAAAAAAAAUGUCAUGGGCUUGAAUCUUAAUUGGAGCAAGUCAUUUCGCCUUCGCCUUGAGGGAAUUUGAUCUCGAAUGUUAUGUGGGCUCGAGUCCCAGGCUCGUUAAUGUAAAGUUUUUUUUUUUUUUUUAAAUUUACUACUCAAUUCAUAACCAGAACGCAUUGAAUCCUUUUAUAAUAUCUCGUGACAGAACUAAUCUGAUUAAAUAUUUCAAUUUCUAACAACUUGUGGAUUUCUUUUUUCAGGGAUCGUCCAAUUGAGAACAAGGACAUUGUAUUGUGGUACACAUUAGGCUUCCAUCACGUACCGUGCCAAGAGGACUUCCCUAUAAUGCCAACCGUAUCAUCGAGUUUUGAUCUGAAGCCCGUCAAUUUCUUUGAGAGCAACCCAAUUCUUCGGAUCCCACCUAACGUUGAAAAAGAUUUGCCUGUUUGCAAGCCUGCUGCUUCAGCUUGAACAGCCAAUUGUAGCUCUUCCAUCUGCAUAUAUAUGCAGUAGCAGAGUAAAAACCUGGAGAUCAAUAAUGUAGAUGAAUGCUUCAGAAAAACACGAAAAAAAAAAGCAGAAAAAAAGAGAGACGGCGAUGGAUUAAUCACUGUUUUAUGACCACUUUAUGGCUACGAUCGAGGCCAGGUCAGAUGGUAUUGCACAAAACACUAAGCAUUUCUGUGUAGCAAUUUUAAUGUGCACUCUUUUAUGAAUCAACGUGGAUUAAAAUAGUUAGAUUUUUCUUAAAAUUUCAAUUCGAUUAUCAAGAAUUUUUUUUGGAAAAUGAAUUCAUUUUGGAAAAUGAAUUCCGGGGAAAGUGAAUUCCGAGAAAGUAUUUUUCGAUGUUUGGUAGUGUUAUAGAAAACACUUUCUAGUGUUUGGUUGUGUUAUGAAAAAUGAAUUGGAAAAUAAUUUAUUAAUAAAUUAAUUUUUUUUCAAAUUUAUCUAAUAUAUAUAAAAUAUUUAAUCACUUACAAUAAAAAAAAUAAAAUGUAUAAUGAUGAAUUUUUUUUAUAUUAUAUUCUAUAUUCAUACAUAGCUUAUUUUAUAAAAUAUAACUAUAUAUAUCAUAUUAUAAAGAAAUAAGCUUGUGAAAUAUUUUUUACUAUUCUAUGAAACCAUUUAUAAUUUCAUUACGUACGAAAUACAUCCGACAAAAAUUAUAGUUUUAAUAAUAUUUUUAGCAUGUAAUAAAAUUGGAUAAAAUAUUAAGGUAUAAAAUUCACUCUCAACUAUUUUUUUUUAAUGCUAAAAAAAUAGCACACUUAUAUUUAAUAAUAAUAAUAAAAAAAACGGAACAGUGCACUAAAACUGCAUUGUUCACUCUUUUUUAGUGAACAAUGUAUGCAAUACACUAUUCAUGUUAAUUGCACUGUUUCAUGAACAGUGCAAUUAACAUGAACAGUUACAGAAAAACACGCAGCAUUGGCUCAGGAAAGUGUUUUUCGAGAAUUAAAAACGGAAAACACUUUCCUUAUGUUAAACUUAACAUUUUCCUUUGACUGGAAUUACAUUUUCUUUGACUCACUUUCCAUGUAUUACCAAACAUGGGAAAGUGAGGAAAAUGGUUUCCAGAAAAGUGAAUUUCUAGAAACAAACAAGGCCUAACUAACUAAACCAUUAUAGUUAUCAGAAACUGAUCAAUCCAAUAAAUUAUUGGAUAACCUUUUUAAUCAAAGUUCUAUUUAGAUAAAGUUUGAUUUAAAAAUGAUUUGGAAGUAAAUCCUAUCAAACCAUGUUAAAUUAAUUACUUGAAAUUUAAUUUGAGUUGAGUUUUAUUUUAAACUGAUUUAAAUAUUGAUGUGGGCGUGCUAGAAAAAACAUGGUUAAGUAUUUUUUAAUUUUUUUUUAUCUAAAAUGAUAUCCGAUUGAAACUGUAAAUUUAUUAUUUUAACAUGUAAGAUUCAGUUAUGAACUUAUCCAAGUAAGUUGUCGUACGUGUAGACGUGUUACUGAGCUGUCGACUUUAUUUUUUUUCUUCCUCUCCCGUGAGUCGUUUGUUUCAUGUUGUUUUGGCAGAUUAGAGAAGUUAGACCGAAGGUGACGCUAGUGGUUAGAAUGGCAGCAUCGGUUGCGAACUAUGAUUAUAUAGUUGAUUGGGAGUUCCAAACUGAUGGACUAAUCAGAAUCAAGGUUAGUGGCCACUUUCAAUGUCUUUCUUUCCUGGGAUGAGGACAUCCUAUUUCCUGUUCUUUGAAAUAAUAUUGUAAACACAAGUAGUCCACUUUAGAAUUUUCAACAUAUAUUAGGGAUAAACAUCUUUCAGUGGUCGGAGUUUUUCUUGAUCAUCAUGCCUACCACUAGUUGGAGGAUGUCACGUUUGAACUUCUAUUUGCCAUUAUGCAAUCAUAACAACUGCUACGUAUGUAAUUGGGCACAGGUUGGACUCAGUGGUAUUUUGAUGGUGAAAGGCACCUCCUACGUGAACACGAACCAAGUUCCGGGUCAACAAAAUCUCUAUGGCACCCUUUUGUCAGAAAACGUAAUCGGCGUUAUACAUGACCACUACGUCACAUUUUACCUUGACAUGGACAUAGAUGGCUCUGAUAAUUCCUUUGUAAAUGUAAACAUUCAAAAGCAACGGACCUCUCCCGGAGAAUCACCGAGGAGGAGCUACUUAAAAGCUAUAAGAAAUGUGGCAAAGACAGAAAAGGAUGCACAGAUUCAGCUCAAACUUUAUGACCCAUCCGAGUUCCAUGUGGUUAACCCGAUGAAAAGGACUCGGGUU